UACAGAGGGUGCGAGCGUUAAUCGGAAUUACUGGGCGUAAAGGGCGCGUAGGCGGUGUGUCAAGUCAGGCGUGAAAGCCCCGGGCUCAACCUGGGAACCGCGCUUGAGACUGGCACGCUCGAGUUCGGGAGAGGAUGGUGGAAUUCCCAGUGUAGAGGUGAAAUUCGUAGAUAUUGGGAAGAACACCGAUGGCGAAGGCAGCCAUCUGGACCGACACUGACGCUGAGGCGCGAAAGCUAGGGGAGCAAACGGG
Molecule: ribosomal RNA, 253 nt
Filed under: uncultured bacterium
Lineage: Bacteria
Description: partial 16S ribosomal RNA
Rfam family: Bacterial small subunit ribosomal RNA
Source: RNAcentral